CCUACGGGGGGCAGCAGUGAGGAAUAUUGGUCAAUGGACGAGAGUCUGACCCAGCCAAGUAGCGUGCAGGAUGACUGCCCUAUGGGUUGUAAACGUCUUUUAUAUGGGAAUAAAAUGUUCCACGUGUGGGAUUUUGUAUGUCCCAUAUGAAUAAGGAUCGGCUAACUCCGUGCCAGCAGCCGCGGUAAUACGGAGGAUCCGAGCGUUAUCCGGGUUUAUUGGGUGUAAAGGUAGCGUAGGUGGAUGGUUAAGUUAGUUGUGAAAGUUUGCGGCUCAACCGUAAAAUUGCAGUUGAAACUGGCAGUCUUGAGUACAGUAGAGGUGGGCGGAAUUCGUGGUGUAGCGGUGAAAUGCUUAGAUAUCACGAAGAACUCCGAUUGCGAAGGCAGCUUACUGGACUGCAACUGACACUGAGGCUCGAAAGUGUGGGUAUCAAACAGGAUUAGAUACCCUGGUAGUC
This 460-nucleotide ribosomal RNA is filed under the name uncultured bacterium. RNAcentral describes it as "partial 16S ribosomal RNA". It matches the Rfam family "Bacterial small subunit ribosomal RNA", at positions 338 to 795 of the family's 1533-position model. The record is from RNAcentral.